CCAAUAGCGUAUAUUAAAGUUGCUGCAGUUAAAAGCUCGUAGUUGAAUUUCGGGACCAUCAUGUCGGUCGUGCCUCGGUACGUACUGGCAUCGUCGGUUUCUCCCUUCUGACGAACCAUGAUGUCAUUUAUUUGGUGUCGUGGGGAAUCAGGACUGUUACUUUGAAAAAAUUAGAGUGUUUAAAGCAGGCUCACGCUUGAAUACAUUAGCAUGGAAUAAUGAAAUAGGACGUUUGAUUCUAUUUUGUUGGUUUCUAGGAUUGACGUAAUGAUUAAUAGGGAUAGUUGGGGGCAUUAGUAUUCAAUUGUCAGAGGUGAAAUUCUUGGAUUUAUUGAAGACUAACUACUGCGAAAGCAUUUGCCAAGGAUGUUUUCAUUAAUCAAGAACGAAAGUUAGGGGAUCGAAGACGAUCAGAUACCGUCGUAGUCUUAACCAUAAACUAUGCCGACUAGGGAUCGGAUGAUGUUAAUUUUUUAAUGACUCAUUCGGCGCCUUACG
RNAcentral lists this ribosomal RNA (498 nucleotides) under uncultured Glomeromycotina. RNAcentral's name for it is "partial small subunit ribosomal RNA". It matches the Rfam family "Eukaryotic small subunit ribosomal RNA", at positions 591 to 1092 of the family's 1831-position model. Lineage: Eukaryota; Fungi; Glomeromycota. The record is from RNAcentral.